Molecule: ribosomal RNA, 497 nt
Filed under: uncultured bacterium
Lineage: Bacteria
Description: partial 16S ribosomal RNA
Rfam family: Bacterial small subunit ribosomal RNA
Source: RNAcentral
GAUGAACGCUGGCGGCGUGCCUAAUACAUGCAAGUCGAGCGAACGGACGAGAAGCUUGCUUCUCUGAUGUUAGCGGCGGACGGGUGAGUAACACGUGGAUAACCUACCUAUAAGACUGGGAUAACUUCGGGAAACCGGAGCUAAUACCGGAUGAUAUUUUGAACCGCAUGGUUCAAAAGUGAAAGACGGUCUUGCUGUCACUUAUAGAUGGAUCCGCGCUGCAUUAGCUAGUUGGUAAGGUAACGGCUUACCAAGGCAACGAUGCAUAGCCGACCUGAGAGGGUGAUCGGCCACACUGGAACUGAGACACGGUCCAGACUCCUACGGGAGGCAGCAGUAGGGAAUCUUCCGCAAUGGGCGAAAGCCUGACGGAGCAACGCCGCGUGAGUGAUGAAGGUCUUCGGAUCGUAGAACUCUGUUAUUAGGGAAGAACAUAUGUGUAAGUAACUGUGCACAUCUUGACGGUACCUAAUCAGAAAGCCACGGCUAACUACGUG